This 240-nucleotide long non-coding RNA is filed under the name Setaria italica (foxtail millet). Its description in RNAcentral is "long non-coding RNA (SITA_LNC004595)". The record is from RNAcentral. Lineage: Eukaryota; Viridiplantae; Streptophyta; Magnoliopsida; Poales; Poaceae.
UGGAGGUUCGCUCAUCUAGCAUGACAACAGCAUGACCUGUGCUGACUUAGGCUAAUGACCACAGUGCCAGAUACAAAAUUUAGUCCAUGAUUGUAAUCUCAAGAAAGACAGCGUAAACAGGUAGGUAGGGAGUGAAUAAACUCCUCUGAGUGUUUUCCUUGCAAGAUCAUGACGUGGUGAAACCAACUAAUCUUGGAUCUUGAUCACCUUUUGUCGGGAGGUUAACACGAGUGGUUUAGC